GAUUCCUUCCGCAGUGUACACUUGUAGAAGCCUUUGCAGCCACGCAAGUGGUARAUCUAGGCGACUUUAAAUAAAUUCUAGGAUCGCUAUGCAAGUCGGCCCACGCAUGUGGUGCCGGCGACACUUUCGAAUUGACGGGGAUACCCUAAAGCCUGUCGCACCAACUCUGUGUGGGAAACCGCUAGAGGGCCCGUGCUAACUACACGGGGUGGUAACAGACRACAUGGAUACUUCCACGCCUUUGGUGUGGAUACCAUGGGCAAUCCGCAGCGAAGCCUCUAAGUCCGGCCGCCGGAUAUGAGGAACGUUCACANACUAAGUGGAAGUGGGUGGAGCGUUCGCCGCUCUGCUUAARAUAUAGUCGGGCCCCUUGGGAAACCAAGGGGGUGAGUACACUGCUCGAAAUUCANACUUGAACGUGUCUCGAAUAGCGCUCAUGUUARAAUUUCGAGACUGUCGACUGCCUCGUGGUUUGACAGCUCUUAAAACGUUCCGUAGGUGAACCUGCGGAAGGAUCAUUACAGAAAGUAAACGCGGAUCAAACCGCGAAC
This 551-nucleotide non-coding RNA is filed under the name Cenococcum geophilum. RNAcentral's name for it is "partial 18S ribosomal RNA". The stretch from base 42 to 385 matches the Rfam family "Group I catalytic intron". Rfam says of the family: Group I catalytic introns are large self-splicing ribozymes. They catalyse their own excision from mRNA, tRNA and rRNA precursors in a wide range of organisms. The core secondary structure consists of 9 paired regions (P1-P9). Lineage: Eukaryota; Fungi; Ascomycota; Dothideomycetes; Gloniales; Gloniaceae. The record is from RNAcentral.